This 482-nucleotide ribosomal RNA is filed under the name uncultured bacterium. Its description in RNAcentral is "partial 16S ribosomal RNA". It matches the Rfam family "Bacterial small subunit ribosomal RNA", at positions 30 to 507 of the family's 1533-position model. The record is from RNAcentral.
AUUGAACGCUGGCGGCAUGCUUUACACAUGCAAGUCGAACGGUAACAGGCUGCAAGGUGCUGACGAGUGGCGGACGGGUGCGUAAUGCAUCGGAACGUGCCCAGUCGUGGGGGAUAACUACUCGAAAGAGUAGCUAAUACAGCAUACGAUCUAUGGAUGACAGCGGGGGACCGUAAGGCCUCGCGCGAUUUGAGCGGCCUAUGUCAGAUUAGGUAGUUGGUGGGGUAAAGGCUCACCAAGCCAACGAUCUGUAGCUGGUCUGAGAGGACGACCAGCCACACUGGGACUGAGACACGGCCCAGACUCCUACGGGAGGCAGCAGUGGGGAAUUUUGGACAAUGGGCGCAAGCCUGAUCCAGCAAUGCCGCGUGCAUGAAGAAGGCCUUCGGGUUGUAAACUGCUUUUGUACGGAACGAAACGGCUCUGGUUAAUACCCGGGGCUAAUGACGGUACCGUAAGAAUAAGCACCGGCUAACUACGUG